GUCGGGAUAGCUCAGGUGGUAGAGAGGAGGA
This 31-nucleotide transfer RNA is filed under the name Philodendron deltoideum. RNAcentral describes it as "partial transfer RNA-Phe". Lineage: Eukaryota; Viridiplantae; Streptophyta; Magnoliopsida; Alismatales; Araceae. The record is from RNAcentral.